Molecule: ribosomal RNA, 468 nt
Filed under: uncultured bacterium
Lineage: Bacteria
Description: partial 16S ribosomal RNA
Rfam family: Bacterial small subunit ribosomal RNA
Source: RNAcentral
GACGAACGCUGGCGGCGUGCUUAACACAUGCAAGUCGAACGGAAAGGCCCUGCUUUUGUGGGGUGCUCGAGUGGCGAACGGGUGAGUAACACGUGAGUAACCUGCCCUUGACUUUGGGAUAACUUCAGGAAACUGGGGCUAAUACCGGAUAGGAGCUCCUGCUGCAUGGUGGGGGUUGGAAAGUUUCGGCGGUUGGGGAUGGACGCGCGGCUUAUCAGCGUGUUGGUGGGGUAGUGGCUUACCAAGGCUUUGACGGGUAGCCGGCCUGAGAGGGUGACCGGCCACAUUGGGACUGAGAUACGGCCCAGACUCCUACGGGAGGCAGCAGUGGGGAAUAUUGCACAAUGGGCGGAAGCCUGAUGCAGCAACGCCGCGUGCGGGAUGACGGCCUUCGGGUUGUAAACCGCUUUCGCCUGUGACGAAGCGUGAGUGACGGUAAUGGGUAAAGAAGCACCGGCUAACUACGUG